Molecule: long non-coding RNA, 679 nt
Filed under: Brachypodium distachyon (stiff brome)
Lineage: Eukaryota; Viridiplantae; Streptophyta; Magnoliopsida; Poales; Poaceae
Description: long non-coding RNA (BDIS_LNC002420)
Source: RNAcentral
AUAGACGACGGCCGAAAGAAUUAUGUUUUAUAUAGCCACAGUGCGCUGUAAAUUCGGAAGCUUGUAUCGACGGUUUCUUCCUCUCUCGCAAUAUGUACGUACCAAACAUGCUCUGCCUCUGUCAGGAAGUUUCCUCUUGAUCUAGCCAGGUCUCUCUGGCUGAUACGAUUUCAUUUUUUUUCAUCUCAAUACACUCGAAGCCGUUACUAGAGUGAAGUACGUACUAGUGUGCUUUGUGCACCGCCGUCACUUUAGAGGUAGCAAUUGGUUCCUGUGAGAGGUCCAAUGGGCCCACGGAGUAGGUCACCGGAGGCCUUGAUUUCGCUUUGGCCCACCAAAAACAUUUUCGUCUGUGACAGAUGCCGUCGCUUUGAGAGCAAAGAUAGGCGGCACAGUCCUCUCAAAAAAAAAAGAUAGGCGGUACAGUAGCGUGCAUGUAUAUACAGACGGUACGUACCCCGUAUAUUAUUACCGCCACGUCACUUAUGCUAUACACACACACACACACGAGCAUACGUACACAACAAAACUGAAAUUGUUAUCAGCAAGACACGUAUACACGGAGGAAGAUGGAGCUAGGAAGGAGACGAGCGAGGGAAGAAGAAGAAGAAGAAGACGAUCGACGCAUAUAUGUAUACUUGAUGAAGAUGAGGUGGGGAGUUGUUGGAUUGAACCAGCU